UGGGUUGACGAAAUCAAGACCUGAACCGGAGAUAAAGUCAAUAUUUGUCUGUUCGCAGAGGUAGGCAACAAAGGAGAAAAGCCAGAGGCUAAUGCCAUGAAGCAUCCAACACAGAUACAGAAGAAGGGAAGAUUCCUGGAAA
This 142-nucleotide non-coding RNA is filed under the name Pseudo-nitzschia australis. The record is from RNAcentral. Lineage: Eukaryota; Bacillariophyta; Bacillariophyceae; Bacillariales; Bacillariaceae.